UACAGAGGUGGCUAGCGUUGUUCGGAUUCAUUGGGUGUAAAGGGUCCGUAGGCGGUUAGGUAAGUCAGCUGUGAAAUCUUGCGGCUCAACCGUAAAAUUGCAGUUGAAACUACCUAGCUAGAGUGCGAGAGAGGAAGACGGAAUUCCCGGUGUAAGGGUGAAAUCUGCAGAGAUCGGGAGGAACACCAGCUGCGAAGGCGGUCUUCUGGCUCGUAACUGACGCUGAGGGACGAAAGCUGGGGUAGCGAACAGG
RNAcentral lists this ribosomal RNA (253 nucleotides) under uncultured bacterium. RNAcentral describes it as "partial 16S ribosomal RNA". It matches the Rfam family "Bacterial small subunit ribosomal RNA", at positions 524 to 776 of the family's 1533-position model. The record is from RNAcentral.